RNAcentral lists this ribosomal RNA (195 nucleotides) under uncultured Gammaproteobacteria bacterium. Its description in RNAcentral is "partial 16S rRNA". It matches the Rfam family "Bacterial small subunit ribosomal RNA", at positions 338 to 524 of the family's 1533-position model. The record is from RNAcentral. Lineage: Bacteria; Pseudomonadati; Pseudomonadota; Gammaproteobacteria.
CCUACGGGAGGCAGCAGUGGGGGAUAUUGGACAAUGGGGGGAACCCUGAUCCAGCCAUGCCGCGUGUGUGAAGAAGGCCUUAUGGUUGUAAAGCACUUUAAGCGAGGAGGAGGCUACUGAGACUAAUACUCUUGGAUAGUGGACGUUACUCGCAGAAUAAGCACCGGCUAACUCUGUGCCAGCAGCCGCGGUAAU